GGCAUUUGGUCAGAAAGGCCAUCAUGGUUAACUACGCUGUCCAAUCUCGUUGUUCCCAGGGACCAGCCAAUCCGCUGGCGAACCCCUAUUAUCUGCUACUCUGUGUGGAUGAAUACACGUAUGUGGUCGAUGAAGGCUGAUACAUGAUGCUGAUGAUGAUAAUAUAUUUAUUUUACUUUGAGGGAUCCAGCGUUUCAAAAAGCAUUUCUGGUAAGCAAAUCUCCCCGGGUUGGUUGAUAAGUCAUAAGAUAAGAGCUCUCUGGAUUUUUUUCUCUUUUUUAUUGUCCAUCAGCCCAGCCGAGAAAGCGGUGUAAAUAAGAAACACACACACAAUAAAUUUGAUAAAAUUCGGCCGGCAUCCACCGUCUCGCUGGAACUGGCUGGAACCCGUAGCUGGUGAGAGAGUUGGCUGGCGUUUGGCAUUUGAUU
Molecule: small RNA, 429 nt
Filed under: Histoplasma capsulatum var. duboisii H88
Lineage: Eukaryota; Fungi; Ascomycota; Eurotiomycetes; Onygenales; Ajellomycetaceae
Description: Histoplasma capsulatum H88 hypothetical RNA
Source: RNAcentral